GAAGGCUGUUAUCCUUCCAGUAAAGCAGUGGUGAAAAAUUGUUUGUUUUUUUUUCAGCUGUGGUCAAGAACCCUCCUAACAACCUCUGGAUAAUCGCUGCAGUGUUGGCCCCAAUCUCCGUAGUAACAUUAAUUAUUAUCAUCAUCACAGCUGUACUGUGCAGAAAGAAUAAGAAUGACUUUAAAGCUGAUGCCAUUGGUAACCUCAACCCCAGAGCUAAGAUGGCAUAUCGGAGAGAUGUGGGCUAUUAUCACCAGCCAGUCCAGGGUUUUGACUAUGCUAAGCAGCACCUGGGCCAACAGGGUGGAGAUGAGGAGAUGCUGCCUGUCAGUCAGGAUACCUUAGUGAUGUCACUACAAAUUCGGGAUGCACCGCUUUCACUAGAAAAGGCCCUGCAGCAAGAUGGAACUGCCAACAAGAAA
This is a long non-coding RNA of Parambassis ranga (Indian glassy fish), 422 nucleotides long. The record is from Ensembl. NCBI's taxonomy places the organism in Eukaryota, Metazoa, Chordata, Actinopteri, Ambassidae.